Papaver somniferum (opium poppy) is the source of this 1560-nucleotide long non-coding RNA. RefSeq lists it as uncharacterized. The record is from RefSeq and is a predicted model, not a curated record. The transcript has 4 exons. NCBI's taxonomy places the organism in Eukaryota, Viridiplantae, Streptophyta, Magnoliopsida, Ranunculales, Papaveraceae.
ACGUUUCUGUCAGUGCACCUUCCUCUUAAUUGUCCUCCAUGAAUUAUGACCUAAUUUCAGGAUUUAAAGGAAUAAAAGAUACUGGAACCUUUCACUUCUUCUCGCAGGCUUCCCAGUUCCAAUUUUUAUCUCGGUUUCAUUAGAGGUUAGAUUUUUCAGGUGCGUCAUUUCUUCCUCCCUCUUAUGUAAAGAUGCACAAAGUCACGAAGAAAAUAAGAAGCAACUACACCAGAGCUUACCUAGGAUGGUAUAAAAAUAUAUCUUUUUUUGAAUCACAGUAUGUAAAAUUUAGAUACUUCCAGUUUAUAUCCAGGUUAGUUUGUAGUUUUGCAUUUUUUUUCAUUGAAUCCUUCGUAUGACGUCCACAGAGAAUUACUUACAAUUACUACAUCGAGAGACUUUCUCCCAGACCGGAACUUUUGUGCAGAAAGCAACCCAAAACAUUGACACGCUGAGAUGGAGAUAAUCCAAAAAUAUACAUUUAAGGGUUCAUGAUUGUCAAAUUCGUUCUGGGAGUAACCUGAAGAACUUUCCUUGGAAGAGGGGUCGAAUAUGAAGCAUUAUGAGGUUGGUGGUGUAAGAGUUAAAGUAUUAGGAAAAUUGUUUUGACUAUAUUUUUACAAGCUAAAAGUUAUCACAGCAGGAAGUUCGAACCUACUGGAAUUUUAUGAAAUCGAAGAACAACUACAAUGUCAUGUUCGUAAAACAUGAAGUAUGUGGAGAUAUUCUCAAAUUUUCGGAUUCCAUGUAUCCUAAAUUCAUCGGAAGGAUUGGUGGUCAAGCAACAAAUAUGUAAAGAGCAGUAUCCUAUAUUGUUUAGAUUGAAAGAGGCAGUAUUUCGUGAUAUGAGAGUGGACAUUGGAUGGCUAUUAUGUUUCUCAUGACAUUUGAAUCCAGUAGAGAGCAUUGAUUUGCUGAAGUUGAAAUUUGAACCAAGAAACAUUACUAUAAAGAAAAAUGGUGCUGGAUCAACUUGAAGACAUGGCAGUGGUGGCGUUUUAAAAAUUUUGUUUUGAGUAAGCGGUUGCCUCCUAAAGCCCUCCUUACAGCAUGAAGCAUGACAGUUUGUCAUAAAUUCUGAGGCGCUUCACUGUAGAGGAGUCCAGCUACUGUCUAAUCUAUGAUUGUUACGUUCGACGGAAUUGGAAGAUACAAGUCACGUGCCGAUGCAUUGUGAGCUUGCUUCAAUUGUUUGGAAAUUCAUUAUGUUUUUGAGUAUAAGCUGGGUACUGUUAAAGGAUGUACAAACUCCGUUUGAAGGUUGGAGCUGCAUUAAGUUGCAAGGAAGCUAUAGAACUAUAAACAAGGACAUAAAUGAUCUAAUAUUGUCGGUAAAAUAGUCUCUUAUUUUGUGGUGCUCCAAUGAAGACUCAUUUAGGGAUACUUCAUUUCAAUUUAUAUUUUUAAUUGGGAGGAGACUGCAGUGAAGUAAUUUUCUUCCGAGGUUUUCUGUUGACAGGCAUUGUUUAUCGUCCUUUGUAAAUGUUUUUUUUCUUCUUUAAUAUACUUCUCAAAACUAAAAAUAAGAAUUUCGGUUCACUAAUCUGUGAAUUCAGUAAA